RNA transcript from Crotalus tigris (Tiger rattlesnake), 7121 nucleotides. It is a transcript of the gene named RNA polymerase III subunit H, with no coding region annotated. The transcript is spliced from 8 exons. The record is from RefSeq and is a predicted model, not a curated record. NCBI's taxonomy places the organism in Eukaryota, Metazoa, Chordata, Lepidosauria, Squamata, Viperidae.
CGUAUUCACCUUGGGAACAGCUUCCGGGGCAUGCUGCUGGUCUGUCCCCCGUCGUCUUAACAGAAGAUGCUGGCAUGCAACUGAUGGUCCGAUGGUUUGGAGAGUAUCCGUCUCUCACAUAAAGGUCGUCUGUAGAACUACCCAGCUUUACUCCCAUUGUGGUGGAAGAGAACCAGCGACCGAGAAGAAAUUGUUAACCCGGGGAUCGACAAUGUGGAUCUAGGUAUAGUGCUUUUGCUGGCCAACAUGUUUGUGUUAGUAGAGAUGACAGAUACAGUGCGAAUUCCUCCAUGGCAAUUUGAAAGAAAGCUUAAUGAUGCAAUCACUGAAGAGUUAAAUAAGAAGUUGGCCAAUAAGGUUGUAUAUAAUGUUGGCCUCUGUAUCUGUCUAUAUGACAUUACAAAGCUGGAGGAUUCCUACAUAUUCCCAGGAGAUGGUGCAUCACACACAAAAGUACAUUUUAGGUAUGUUGUAUUUCAUCCAUUUUUGGAUGAAAUUCUGGUUGGAGAGAUAAAGGGCUGCAGUCUUGAAGGUGUACAUAUUUCUCUUGGGUUCUUUGAUGACAUACUCAUUCCUCCAGAAUCUCUACAACAGCCUGCUAAAUUCGAUGAAACAGAACAGGUAUGGGUUUGGGAAUAUGAGACUGACGAAGGAGCCCAUGACCUGUACAUGGAUACAGGAGAAGAAAUACGUUUCCGUGUAGUGGAUGAAACUUUCAUUGAUACAUCCCCAACAGGCCCAAGCUCUGUAGAACCUUCCACAUCUAGUGGCACUGAGGAGACACAGAAGAAAGAAGCACCCUACACUAUUGUGGGAUCUAUCAGUGAACCCGGCCUAGGUCUCCUAUCUUGGUGGACCAACAAUUAAUUGACGAUAAAGAUGGACAGUUACACAGAAAAAGCCAGGAGAUGCCUUGAUCAGCAGUUGCAGAAUGUAUUCUCAUUUGCGGUAGUUCCAUUCUAUACAAUCACCAUAAACAGUAGCAAAUAUUGAAACCUCAACUGGAAACAUGCUUAUCAGGAGACUCAAAUUUCUCCCUGCUCUGCAUGAGGAUGAAAACACCGCAAGUAUUGAUUUUUGUUUAUAAAUAAAUUUGAGUAAGCAAAUUUUCAAAUACAAAAUUCACAAUUAGCAGGAAUCAGCUAUACACACACACAAACACAGGUCUUAUAUUGCAGAAUUAUUCACAUUUAAAUUUGUUUAUUCAAACAAAGAAUUUUCUUCCAUGCUUAUAACUGGAAAGCAGUCUAUAAUCAUAAAAAUGAAAUAAGCCAUUCACUUUUGUUAUCUUUUAGUUUAUUCCAAAAUCAGUUACAUACUUAAGAACAUAAGUAUCUACAAAAAUAGCAAAUCUUUCAGAAUAACAUAUAUGAAAUAAAUUUGAACCAAAAGGAUACCACUUAAAGCCCUACUGCAUGAAAGUAAAUUGCAUAUUGACAAUGACUCAAUCCCUCAAAUUCUUCCAACACAUGUAGUUUUUAAAAUUGCUCACACAAAAGAUUACCAAAAAGAUCGAAAAUAAUCUGAUGCAGACAUUCUCUGAAACGAUGGGGCAGUGGAGAGAAAUAAUACAAUUCUAAGGAAAUUCAGUAGGAGGGGCACGGAGAACGGAAAAGAGGGAGCAGCUGAGAAGACUAAAUGGGAGAACUUCACAGCAUUUUAUUGAGGAUAUUCCAUCUGCUUAUUUGGACAAAAAAUGCAUCCUAUUAGAAUAUCCUUACUUAGUGUUUUUAAAAUCUUACGUUCGAAAACUUUAAUAAUAUGUGAAUGACGAGAUUUCACUCACGUUUAAAUAUAACUAGUCAAUGUAAUGCACGAGCUCCUAGAUCUCUCCCCCCCUCCCCCCCAAAAAAAUCAUUACGUGGGGAGUAGGACAUUUUACGUUCGUUGGUAAAGAAGUUAUUCCCUACUCCAGCCAUCCCCUCGCUAUGUGUUAGGGCUGAGUUCCCACGGGCAUGCGACAGAAGAGUGUAUGCCAGAUGUUCAGGUCUCUUCACCUGAUCUACAUUUUGUACACCAUCUUAAAACAGUAGCAGAUGGGCAACUCACCUUACCUACCGUGCCUUAACCGAUUUUAAUGUGAUUUUAAACAGCAGAAUUGCAAUCUGCCGAUGAGCACCCCAAGAGUACAAAACCGAGCUAUCGCCAGCCUGCUCAGUUAACUAAGCGCUACCGUCGAAGGGAGGCCCAAAAUUACAAAUUUGGAGGCUAACACGAACGCCGGUCUAGAGGGAUCUCCUCGUAUCCCGGCAAUGUCGCAACCGUCUCCAAAUCCAUUGAGAGCGGCAACCACCAGUUUCUCCGCAUGCAGCGGGUAAGAAUACCAAGGCUCAGUUCAACAAAUCCAUCUACAAGAAUCGCCCUCGGCAGCUCCCUCAAAACUUCCAGAAGCAAUGUUUGCUGUGAGUUGUAGUUGAAGCUUGCCGGGCAGGUUAGAGGAGCGAUGAGAAGCGUCUACUUACCUAUCUUUGGUUAAUUAAAAAGUUCUGUUCAGAUGAGGCAGAUUAUAGAGCUGCAUUUUUUCACUCUCCUUAUCAAAGUUGCGGUAUUUAUAAUUCCAUGUUGAAAUUAACAUUUAACAUGUAUUUUGUUCUGUACCAUUAAGCGGCUGCGCAAGAAAAGUUUGAAAAGGUUUCCAAAUUACAGCACUGUACUGUAUGAAGUUUCACAGCGCGAUCCUGUGCAAAACUAAGCAAAAAAAGUAUAUUCCGUUUAAUUCAGUGAGAUUUUAUUUUGUAUGUAUUGCACCGUUCUGCUCGAUUUUGUUAAUGCUAUCAAGAAAGAAUGAAUGUUAUAUAAAAAUAUGACUUGAUAUUUUUAAUAUGUUUUAUCAACAGGAAUAAAAUGCAAAACAAAGACAACAGAAAAAUAUAGAUCCAACAGUAACAACAAAAGUUGUGUACAAAAUAAUAAUGACCCAAACAUCAAAUAAGUCUAACAUUAAACGUACAAAAAAACCUCAACUCGCUGUUGGAUGCUGAGAAGAAAAUACCUGAUAAAUUCUCCUCCCCUUACUUAAUGGGUCUGUAAAUAAUUAUAAGCUUUCUUAUCCUUAUUUUACAAGAAAAAUAUAUAAACAACUAUUUCAGAUGAGAAGGUCUGUAUCUAGUAAUCAAAUUGACCCAACAUCUUAUCUGUUUAUAUAUUUUUCUUGAUAUAUAAAGAACAGUCAACAGGUUAGCCCAGUCUCUUAUAAAGCUUUUUAGUCCAUUGUCUCUAAUAAAAGCAGUUGAUUUUGCCAUCUUUGUUAAUUCAGUCAAUUUUAGAAUCCAUUCUUUAACAGUCAGCAUCUCUUUCCCAGUGCUUAAUAAAUACAGUCCUCACAGCCGUCAACAUGUAAACAAAUAAUGUCCCAAAUUGUUUUUUGAUUGGUUUAUCCAAUUUCAUUAAUUUUUAUAUCUUAAAUAUUUUCUGCAUUAUGUUUAUCAGAAAGUUUUCAUAUACUUGCAACACUAUGUAAUAAAAUGUACCCAGAUUUUGAUUACAUUUCCAUUACUUUAGAAGUUCCUCUCUAUAUUUUUGCUAAUCUAUCUGGAAUCAAAUACCAAUGAUACAUCAUUUUAUAAAAAAAUUAUUUCAAACUAUAAUUCAAAGUAAAUUUUAAUCCAUUAGUCCAUAUAGUCUCCCAUUUAUCUAGUGCUGUUACCCAAAAAUUUUAACCCAUUUUAUCAUACAAUCUUUGCAAUACUUGUCUUUCAAAUCCAUCUUCAGUAACAUUUUAUAUACUUUAGCGACCAAAUGGUCAUCUCCAAAACAUAAAUUGAUACCCAAUUCAGAUUUAACUCCUGUGAAAGCAAAACUUUUUUAAUGAAGUUUAAAUCUUUCAAAAAUUCUAUAAUUAAACUAAUCACAAAUCCUUUACUUGCUAAUUGUUCUUGUCUUUGUCCUUGGUCCCUCUUUUUCAAAUAUCAAUAACUCCCACUAGGUGAUCCAUUUACAUCCCAAUAACUUCUCUCUUCUAUGUUGUGCCUCAUGAGGUGAUAACCAAAAUGGCACUCUUUCAGCCAGUCUUCUUUUAUAUUUCCACCACACACACCCAAUCAAUUGCCUAAUAAUAUGAUUUUUAAAACUAGAGUUAACUUUUACUUUGUCAUACCACAAAUAAGCAAGCCAUCCAAAUGUCAAAUCAGAGUCUUCAGGGUCUAACAAUCUUGAUUGUUUUAGAGUUAUCCAUACCAAACAUAUCUUUUAACCAUACCAAACAUCAAGUAUCAUAGUUUAGUCUAAGAUCCCUUCUUUAGAAUCCUGUUAAGAGCUUGUAUUUAAUUCUUGUUUUUUUUAUUUUGCAAAUGGAAUUUAGAUACAUCUUUCUGCCAAGAAGGAACUUUAAUCAAUAUCAGUAUAGCCUUCAAGGUAGUACAUUCAUUUUAAUUGCUGAAAUUCUUCCUGUCAACAAUUCUAGUUUUUACCAUAUGUUUAAAUCCGUCUGUAUCUCCUUCCAUAUUUUAAUUUAGUUUUUAUAUAACUUAGAAUUUUCAUCUGUAAGAAUCACCCCCCAAUACUUUACCUUUUUCACAACUUUAAAGCCAGUUUUAAGUUCCAAUUUCUUCCAGUCUUAGUGUUAGUGUUAAUGUUAGUUAGUGUUACUAACAUAACUGCAAUGAUUCACUCACCAACUAUGGAAAGAAAGAAGAAACUCACUUAUCAAUUGUCCAGCUUAGCAACAAAAAUUUUGUGCUCAACUGUGAUUGUAAGUUGAGAACUUCCUGUAUAUUAUAUCUGUUGAAGUUCUACAUCUACUGUUAAACUCACUUGAUAAAAAAUGAAGUAAAAUUGCAAGAAUUGUUCUUAAUAACCCAUGCUGAUUUCAGCAAACCAUCAUCUGAUUUGUUCACAGCUUAAAGAUUCAAUUUACCUGGUUCUGAAGAUUUAAAUGAAUUCAAAGGAAAGUCCUUAUUUUUGUUAAUCUCAGACUUCAAUUCUGCUGCCUGCCUUUUCUGGUAGAACAUACAGUUUUUUAUUUAUUGUUCUACUAAGAUUAUUAAAACUGACAUUGUUUUUCAUUAAACACUCAGCGUUCUCCACAGAUUAAUAUUAAGGCAAAAGCCCUCCCAAUAAUGAGAUUAUAAAUCCUGAUAUUUCUGGCAUAUAAUAUCUGUUGUGAAGCAACUACAACUGGCAACUGUUCACUUGGAUAGCAUGGUUCCAGAUUAUUGUAUAUCUUCAUAUCUGGAUAUGUCAUUUACAUCCUGCCUUUCCUCAAAGGUGUUUAGGUCAAUGUAUAAAAGACUUUAGUUCAUUUUAUUCUUCCACAAAUGCUUGUUUUGCAAAUAGGUUAAACUUAAAGAAUACGUUUAACCCUUAAAGUGGGAGGAUUCUUGAGUUGCAAAGAAUCUGAAUUGAAAUUUCUUUGAAAGAAUGAAGACCAGAUUUCUUUAUUAGUUGUGCAAUCAUAUUAAUUGUGUUAUUCCCUUUAUGAGCAGGUAAUAUUAUACAAAGUGCAAAAUAUAUAGUGAGAAAAAAUUAAAGGCAAACAAAACAGUAAACAACAAAGAUCUGAAAAUAAAAGAAAUUGAGAGGGGCAAAACAUAAAGGACAAAUAUCUUUCCACCCAGAUUAUAUGCUGAGUGGCAGGCAUUAUUCCCUAGAAUUGAAUGGGGGGAAUUAAGAAGGACCCAAUAAGAUCUUUGAACAAUUAUCUAGUUUUGGAGGAGAGGAAUCUUGAAGAUCGCAGUUCUCAAUAAGGAGUGAUCAGAAGUCUUUUACCAUCUUUUACUUCAGCUGUUUGUUUUUUUUAAAGCUUACCUUGGUUUUGACUGCACUUUUAAAAUUCCUUUAAUUUUAUUUAUUUUUAAUAACUAGUUGAUUUCUGAUCUAUCUUACAACUCUUGCUGGAUCUUUACAAUUUUCUCUUUGCUGUCUCAUUGUUUACUAUUGAACUAUAAAACACUUUUACUUUCCAUAAGAAAGUUGCCAGUGAAAAUUUAUUAUCCAGUAGUGAAAAUCACCCUAUUGGACUUACACUUACAUUGGAUUAUAUAUGAGGAUUUUAUUCUUACCACUUUUUUUAAUGAAAAAGUGGGAAAAAUCCUUUUCUUUUGAUUAAUUUUCACCCUGGGGGAAAAAUAACUUCUCUCUAUGGACAUUUUGUCAUGAUAUAUCUGUUUGUCUUGUUCUUGGAAGGAAUAUUUUAUUUAUUUAUUUAUUUAUGAGACUUAUAUACCGCUUUAAGUGCAAGCACUCUCUAAGCGGUGUACACCAGUAAGCAAUGUAUAUAUAUAUUUACAUUGCCCCCAACAAUCUGGGUCCUCAUAGUGUGUUUUUCAAAAUGUCUGCAAAAGGAGAUAAAGAAUUCUUUCUAUCUUACAGACUUCUUUUGAAGAUAGAAUCAAAACAUUUGAUGGGUUAACAACAGUUUUGAAUCAAACCCAGGAUGAUACUCAAAAGCAGAAAAUAACAAUGGGGCUUAAUUUGCAGUUUCAUGAAUUGGAAUCUGAUUUGUUGCUGCUAUACCUGAAGAAGAAAGAACCUGGUCUGAACCUUAUAGAUUUGGCAGAAAAGAUUGACAAGAAUAAGAAAUUCAGUGAUAAUGGAACUGAUGAGUGAUGGGCUGGAUAUUUUAGACAAGAUCAAUCCUAUCUUUUCAGAUAGAGCUUUUGAACAGCGGAUGCUGCAGAGACACCUACAAUAAAGACCUAUGGCUCUGAGAAACAGGAUGCAAUUGUUGGGAAAGUUCUUAACUAAAAUUCUAAGAAAUAGUUUUAUGAUUAAGAAUCGGAUGAGAAUAUUUGAUCCUGGACAGAUUAGAGAUAACAAUUGGGGUGAUUUAUAGUAGAUAAGAAACUGUUGUAGACAAUAACAGAUUGUUAACAAAGGGCUUUAAAGUUUUUAUUGAUUAAAUUGUUAAUUAUUAUAACAGUUAGAUCUACUGUAUAACAGUUUGAUUGGUUGCAAAUAGAUGUAGAAGUUUAUAAAUCUUAAACUUGACUGCAAGGGGAGGAGGCUAUUAUUGUUGCAAUAUAUUGGUCAGUGCUCAACUGGGGGGGGGGUGUUUUUGUUUUUGAAUCCAUGUUUUUAAUGUCUAUUUAGUUUUAUUUUGUUCUUGUAAGAUUUCCAUUUCCCCCCUGGAGAUUGUAUUUUAAUUUUCUGUAUUAAAAAUAAAAUAAAAGAACAAAGGAAAA